This 3180-nucleotide long non-coding RNA is filed under the name Heterocephalus glaber (naked mole-rat). Its description in RNAcentral is "lncRNA (ENSHGLG00100034879.1)". Lineage: Eukaryota; Metazoa; Chordata; Mammalia; Rodentia; Bathyergidae. The record is from RNAcentral.
CGCUAACUACAAGCUGUGCUUGACAAGAAUUAAUUGUAUUUUUCAAAAUAGCUGGUGGAGAGGAUUUGGAAUGUUCCCAACACAAGGAAAUGAUGAAUGUUUGCAGUGAUGGCUAUGCUGAUGACCUUACUCUGACUGUUACAUAUGCACAAUCAAACAUAUCAUUGAGUUUACCUAGAAAUACAGUUUUCUGCUCAUCAAGAGCACUGAGAUGUCAGUUUUGCCUCUCUUGGAUGCCCUGCUUGGGAGGAAGACAGCUGCUGUGUGGUGGGAAGAAAGACUUCAACAACCUCGAAAAACCACCCCUGUGAUGAGGAACUGAAGCCUCCUCCCAAGAGCAGGGAUCGAACUAGGGACCUUGUACUUGCGUAGCAGGCACCGGAACCACUGAGCUAAAUCCCCGGCCCCAAAAAUGCAUUCUUAAAGGCAGAAGUUUCUGUUGCUCUCCUUGAUCCUCAAAGCAACUAUGGAAGAUUUCCUAUUCCAGCAAUGCCAUCACAGUGUUUCCCCCUCUGGAUGCCCUUCCUACUGUUUGAAUCUGAUGCUUGUCUCACAGUGAGGGUUUCUGACGUCAGGGCCUGGAACCUGGAUAGCAGAUUGAUCCAUGAUAGCGCUGUGAGACUGAGCCAGUGCAGGCAGGGCCUCUGAGACUUGGAAAGCUGGAUCAUAAAAGAUAGCAGAGGUCCUGCCUGUGGUUUUGAUACUCACUCUUAGAACUCAACUACCGAUACAAAGAAGUCCAAACCAACUCGAGUUGGAGGCCCCUGGCAAGUUCCCCCUCCUGCGACCCAGCUGAGGCCCUAGCCAACAGCAGUAUUAAUGGCCAACUGUGUGGAUGAAGAAGCCCCUGAGGGGCCCGCCUCCCAGGACAUGGGCUGCCUCCAGCCUUUGAGUCUUCCCAGCCGAAGCUUCGAAUGUCUUGGAGCAGAAACAAUCUAGAGCAUUCUGCUGUGUUUGGAUUCCUGACCUGAAGAAUCUAUGGAUGGCAUUCACCUGAACUGCUUCACAGAGGAGAUCUCCAAGUGAUGGUGAGGAACGGCAACCACUUAGCAUCCAUUCGAGCCAGACUACGCACUCACGCGAUGGACAGUUCCCCUGGCGCCUCAGGCUCCAGCAUUGAGUGCAUCUUUGGCGUCUCUCUGUUUUUCUAAACCAAGCAAAUGCAACAUCGAAGUUCAAAGAGACAUUGUACACUGGGUGCAAAUCCUGAACCAGCAGAAGAUGAGAAUCGGUGGGCGAAUGACCCUGAAUCCGUUUGUGAGGUCAAUUCUGGGUCUCCUCAGAGGUUUGCACAUAGGACCCAGCAGACUGUUCAACAGCUCCUGUGAAUGCUUUUAAUGGUUUAAAUACUGUACUUAUUAUCCCUUUCUUUAUACCCUCAGUUUUACUCCAUAGGAUCAUCUUUCAAAUAAACCACCAGCACCUACAACCUUGUCCCGGGCUCCACUUCUAGGAUGAACUCAAACUAAGACAAGUUAUGGAGUUAGGGUUUCUCAGGAAAGGUUGUAUUUAGAGACAAGUACCCUCCUUAUUAGAAAUAUUAAUGUGCUGGAAGCCUCAAAGUUCCAGCCUGCUUCACUGACAGUGAUCUAGUGAAAUUUACAUAGCUGCUUCUUAUUUCUAUAAUCAGAAAAAGAUUAAAUAGGUCUCAUUUUUCUGGAAAUACAGAAUUGUACGAUUCCUAUUUCUGUAUGAGAACUCGUUUCUUUUCUCCUUGAUCCACAAAUUAAACUUACAGCUAUAGGACAACCAUAUUAAUUUUUUAAACGCAGUAACAUUUUGACUAAAUCUUCUAAGAAGUAAUUAUCCUGUUUUCAUUAAUGCUAAUAUAUUAUUGCAGAAACAUUUUUUUUUUUUAAACACAACUAAAAAGCCCAAGAAUGUCAAGGGCUGGUAAAACCAUGUGGUAGAUUAACUGAUGGUCAGUUUAAGUGGGAAUGCCCAGCUGAACUGAGUCAGCAUGGUUCUGGCCAUGGAGACCCCACCUGAGGAUUGUCAUCAGAACAGAAAUCAAAGGAGAACAGGAGGGGAGGAUUUGCUGCUGAUUCUCCUUGGAAGGUCCUUACUCCAGAAUGAUGGUGCUUCUGCUAUGGUUCACCUAUGGGGGCUGCCAGAGACCCCAGAAAGCAUCUCAUCUCCUGCCCCCUUCCUACCCUCUGGAAGAGCAGAGGCUGCUGAGCUUUGGCUGCUGUUCCCCUCAGAGGAGCUCUAUCCUGGGUGUCAUCUCCUGGCUCUCAGUCAUCUCCAGACUCUUUGGCCUUCACCACCAGCCUCUGGGCUUUCCCGGGCAGACCCUCAGUCUUCCCUCAAAGACUCCUCGGCUUUCUGAUGCAGACUCAAGAGGACAUUGCUGUGGGACCCAGACCCUCAGCUGGAUUCUUCAGAUCUCCAGUGUACGGACAAGUCUCUUGCACUCUUCUGCACUUGACUUUCAGUAUCCAUUCUGAUUGUAAUUGUGCUAGACUUGAGCCCAGCCAGGAGAAAUUCAGGAAAUUUAGAAACAUGUCUCUGAGAGCCUGAAUGGAACAAAAUAAAGACCAUGAAGGUCAACCCAGUUGAUUCACACGAGGUACAUGAGGUAGCAUGAAGGUGUAAAGGGGGUCACUCCACGAUCAUCAUCCUUUAUUUCCUGACUCAACACCACCUGCUCAUACAAAGCCCAGGUCUCAUUUUAGCCAGACGCCAGCGGUCUCCAGAAGAGUCCUAUGCAGAACUCAUUCUCUGCCUCACUUCCACCCCUGCGCUGCCUCGGUAAGGUUGGCUGGCCAAGGUAUUGCUGGGGGCUGCUCCAUUGCAGCAUCCGGUACUAGGGACGCACAGUGAAACUGUACGUGGUAAGGUUCCUCCCUUCCCAGCAGCUGCUCUUUAGGAGCCAAACUACCGCUCUUCCUGAGCGCCAUGAUACCCUGUGUUUAUGUUGAAAUGUGGUUUCUUUCCUAUUGACAGAUGCGUUGCCACCUGGAAUUAAAACAGUGCAACUUAGGAGUUGCUAUCGCCUCAGGUUCCCAAAGAGAACUAAAGCCUGAUAUCUCUUCCUUAGCACUCAUAUGAAUCUCCAGGCUGAGCAAGUUACAGAAAGCAAAUGUUAAGCCCGCUCAGCUUUCACUAUCUUUUCUUACCUGUCCCCGACCCCAGCUACUGUCCACCCAGACACACAGCCCUUUCAUAUUCCAUUCAAAA